GAAAAAGUGAAAAAAACUUGAACUAAAGUGUUUGCAAGGUUGCCAAGACAUUAGCGAAAUCCUGAAACUAAUCUAAAUCGAUAUAUUGCUCUGGCUCAGGAUUAUUUGUGCAGCAAAAAAUGGCCAUUCUGUUUUACGUGUUCAAUCUGACAAUGUUGACAGUGCAACGACAUUUUCCCUUGUUAGCAGCAACUGUUUGUGUCGCUAAUAAAAUUUUUCUAAUUUUUCAUAGAAAAAGUGAAUUUUCUGUGCACUAUUUGAGUUUAUUCUGUUCCUUAAGGCCUGCUUAAUCUCCUGAAAAUGAGUGUUACUAAUAAUAUAUAUGCACCCUUCCUGCAAAGACCACCUAAAUGAAGAAACCUGGCUCACCGGCCCUUAUAUAAUUCUGAUGUCUUGCUAUGAUUCCAGUUUACGAGAUUGGUUUUACAUUAUAUCCAGUUAAAGCUUUUGUACAAUUAAUCGAUGUAUGUACAGUUCCAGAGCAGUACAUUUAUACUUUUGAUGAGUAAUAUCAAAAAUACAUCAGGACACCUGGACUUCAAUUCAACCAUCCUAUUCCAGAUGCCCUUAGGUUGAUUAAAAUCAACAUUCAACAGUGGAAUGAGUAUUCAACAGUGGAAAUUCGCUAUCAAAGAGGAACUAAAUAAUUUGUAUAUUUAGAUUUUCCACAACAAGUCGAUGGAUGCAUGCAGUUCCAGGGCAGUACAUUUAUCCUUUUGAUGAUGUUCCUUCUAUUCACCAACGAAUUUCAUCAUUUUUAAAUUUAAUUAAGUAAGAAAAAAGAUUCAAAUGAGUCUCUGAGUUAUAUUUUAAUAGUUUCUUAUGAUCAUUGACAAUUUCAUUUGGGUUUUGGUCACUUCUCUUACUUUUUGGUAGAAUACCAUCUAAUUGAAUACCAUCUCAUCGUAAUUUUGGAAUCAUUUUCAAUCACUUUUUUCAAAUAAUCAGAUCAUACAGAGUAAAACUUAAUUAUUCUUAAAUCUAAUUUGUUAUUUGUCUUUUGUGGUUGUACUUAUAAUUCUCUUUUAUUUAUAUUAUUGUUUAUAUUACUGCUAUUCCCUCUAAGGCUUCAAAGUCUUUAGUUUCAUUUAUAUUGAUGCCUUCAUAGAAUUGUACAGUUUUGGAAUCAUUUCUAAUUGAUUUUCUCUUCAUUUUGUUUCUAAAUCCAUUAAAAAUUGAGAUUUUUUAUGCGAUAUUGUACUGCAACAAGUAUUUUUUGGAACAGCUGCACUCCAAACACCUUCUUCAAGAUGCCAUCAGGCUGAUUAAAUUCAGGAUUUAACAGUGGAAUGAGGAUGAAAUUCAUCAUUGAAGAGGAAACUAGUUAAUUUUAGAACCAAGACUUUCCACAAGGGUAGCCGGAAGAUUUAUUUAUUACCUCAACAUAGACAUCAGCAUCUCCAUCAAGACCUUGGAUUAAAAUCCAAGGUUUUGCUAUGUGUAUUAAGAUAUAUAUUUUAUAUUAAUAUUGUUAAUACAA
Molecule: long non-coding RNA, 1480 nt
Organism: Sitophilus oryzae (rice weevil)
Lineage: Eukaryota; Metazoa; Arthropoda; Insecta; Coleoptera; Curculionidae
Exons: 6
Source: RefSeq, a predicted model, not a curated record